AUGAACCCGGACAACUUCACGCACAAGACCAACGAGGCGCUGGUGGCGGCGCACGAGGCGGCGUCGGAGGCCGGCCACGCGCAGAUCACGCCGUUGCACCUGGCGGCGGCGCUGGCGGCGGACAAGUCGGGCAUCCUGCGGCAGGCCGUCGCGGGGGCGUCCGGCGGGAAUGCGUCCGCGGGGGACUCGUUCGAGCGCGUGCUCGCCGGCGCGCUCAGGAAGCUGCCGUCGCAGUCGCCGCCGCCGGACUCCGUGCCGGCCUCCACGGCGCUCAUCAAGGCCAUCCGCCGCGCGCAGUCGGCGCAGAAGAAGCGCGGGGACUCGCACCUCGCCGUCGACCAGCUGCUCAUGGGCCUCCUCGAGGACGCGCAGAUCGCCGACUGCCUCAAGGAGGCCGGCGUGUCCGCCUCGCGGGUGCGCGCCGAGCUCGACAAGCUCCGCGGCGGGGACAACUCGCGCAAGGUCGAGUCCGCCUCCGGCGACACCACCUUCCAGGCGCUCAAGACGUACGGCCGCGACCUCGUCGAGGUGGCCGGCAAGCUAGACCCCGUCAUCGGCCGCGACGAGGAGAUCCGCCGCGUCGUGCGCAUCCUCUCGCGCCGCACCAAGAACAACCCCGUCCUCAUCGGCGAGCCCGGCGUCGGCAAGACGGCCGUCGUCGAGGGCCUCGCGCAGCGCGUCGUGCGCGGGGACGUGCCCAGCAACCUGCUCGACGUCCGCCUCGUCGCGCUCGACAUGGGCGCGCUCGUCGCCGGCGCCAAGUACCGCGGCGAGUUCGAGGAGCGGCUCAAGGCCGUGCUCAAGGAGGUGGAGGAGGCCGACGGCAAGGUCAUCCUCUUCAUCGACGAGAUACACCUCGUCCUCGGCGCCGGGAGGACGGAGGGGUCCAUGGACGCGGCCAACCUCUUCAAGCCCAUGCUCGCCAGGGGCCAGCUCCGGUGCAUCGGCGCCACCACGCUGGAGGAGUACCGCAAGUACGUCGAGAAGGACGCCGCGUUCGAGCGGCGGUUCCAGCAGGUGUACGUGGCCGAGCCGAGCGUCGCCGACACCAUCAGCAUCCUGCGAGGGCUCAAGGAGAAGUACGAGGGGCACCACGGCGUGCGCAUCCAGGACCGCGCCAUCGUCGUCGCGGCGCAGCUCUCGGCGAGGUACAUCAUGGGCCGCCACCUGCCGGACAAGGCCAUCGACCUGGUGGACGAGGCGUGCGCCAACGUGAGGGUGCAGCUGGACAGCCAGCCGGAGGAGAUCGACAAUCUGGAGCGGAAGCGGAUUCAGCUGGAGGUGGAGCUGCACGCGCUGGAGAAGGAGAAGGACAAGGCCAGCAAGGCCCGGCUGGUGGAGGUGAGGAAGGAGCUGGACGACCUGAGGGACAAGCUGCAGCCGCUGACCAUGAAGUACAGGAAGGAGAAGGAGCGGAUCGACGAGAUCCGGAAGCUGAAGCAGCGGCGGGAGGAGCUGCAGUUCACGCUGCAGGAGGCCGAGCGGCGCAUGGACCUGGCACGCGUCGCCGACCUCAAGUACGGCGCCCUCCAGGAGAUCGACGUCGCCAUUGCGAAGCUGGAGGGCGAGACCGGCGAGAACCUGAUGCUCACCGAGACCGUCGGCCCCGAGCAGAUCGCGGAGGUGGUGAGCCGGUGGACCGGCAUCCCGGUGACCCGGCUCGGGCAGAACGACAAGGAGCGCCUGGUCGGCAUGGCGGACAGGCUGCACACGAGGGUGGUCGGGCAGACGGAGGCCGUGAACGCCGUCGCCGAGGCGGUGCUGAGGUCCAGGGCGGGGCUUGGGCGGCCGCAGCAGCCCACCGGGUCGUUCCUCUUCCUGGGCCCGACCGGCGUGGGCAAGACAGAGCUCGCCAAGGCCCUCGCCGAGCAGCUGUUCGACGACGAGAACCUGCUCGUCCGCAUCGACAUGUCCGAGUACAUGGAGCAGCACUCCGUCGCUCGCCUCAUCGGCGCGCCACCAGGCUAUGUCGGACACGAGGAGGGCGGGCAGCUGACGGAGCAGGUGAGGAGGAGGCCGUACAGCGUGAUCCUGUUCGACGAGGUGGAGAAGGCGCACGUGGCGGUGUUCAACACGCUCCUCCAGGUGCUGGACGACGGCCGGCUGACCGACGGGCAAGGCCGGACGGUGGACUUCCGGAACACCGUGAUCAUCAUGACCUCCAACCUCGGCGCCGAGCACCUCCUCGCCGGGAUGGUGGGCAAGAACUCCAUGAAGGUCGCCCGCGACCUCGUCAUGCAGGAGGUGAGGAGGCACUUCAGGCCGGAGCUGCUGAACCGGCUGGACGAGAUGGUGAUCUUCGACCCGCUGUCCCACGAGCAGCUGAGGAAGGUCGCUCGCCUGCAGAUGAAGGACGUGGCCGUCCGGCUCGCCGAGCGCGGCGUCGCACUGGCCGUCACCGACGCCGCGCUGGACGUCAUCCUGUCGCUGGCCUACGAUCCAGUGUAUGGCGCUCGGCCGAUCAGGAGGUGGAUCGAGAAGAGGGUGGUGACGCAGCUGUCCAAGAUGCUGAUCCAGGAGGAGAUCGACGAGAACUGCACUGUGUACAUCGACGCCGCCGACAAGGACGAGCUGGCCUACCGGGUGGACCGCAGCGGCGGGCUGGUGAACGCCGAGACGGGGCAGAGGUCCGACAUCCUCAUCCAGGUGCCCAACGGCGCCCUCGGCGGCGGCGGCGGCGGCGAGGCGGCCAAGGCCGUGAAGAAGAUGAGGGUCAUGGAGGACGGGGACGAGGACGGCAUGGACGAGGAUGCUUGA
This 2757-nucleotide ribosomal RNA is filed under the name Triticum aestivum (bread wheat). Its description in RNAcentral is "partial small subunit ribosomal RNA". Lineage: Eukaryota; Viridiplantae; Streptophyta; Magnoliopsida; Poales; Poaceae. The record is from RNAcentral.